Long non-coding RNA from Ipomoea triloba (trilobed morning glory), 563 nucleotides. RefSeq lists it as uncharacterized. The record is from RefSeq and is a predicted model, not a curated record. The transcript is spliced from 2 exons. Lineage: Eukaryota; Viridiplantae; Streptophyta; Magnoliopsida; Solanales; Convolvulaceae.
UUGAAACACAACUGCACAUUGAGAGAAAAAGAUCAGAAAAUAAGAGAAAGCAUGAUAGACACUAAAAAUUUCACACAUCUCUACCUAUUCCUGUAAAGAAACAAAAUACUGAUGUCUAGAUGAAUGAAGAGAAAGUUAGCGUUGCAAAGUUAUCAGUCAACAGCCGCCCGGUAUCAGCCACCCAAUUAUUUUCUUUUCUCAGUCAACAGAAGUCCGCCGCAGAGACAGUCUCAAAUCUCAUCCCCGGUCUCCUCCCCCGACCUCCGCCAUCUCUAUUCGCCUCCGCCGUCGCUCUUCGCCUUUGCCAUCGCCUUUCGCCUCCGCCUCCACCUUCGCCGUCGUUGUCCGCCUCCGCCCCCGCCCCUGCCGUCGCCAUUCCCCUCCACCUCUGCCUGUCCGCCAUCGCCCUUCUCUGGAGUGUUGGGAGAUGACUUUUGGAAGUCAAAAAAAAAAAAACAAAAAUGAUAAGAGAGAGAUGUGACCUGUCAGGAUUGAGAGAAUGGUUUUAAUUGCUUUUGUUUUUACUUCUUUGAGAAAUGGUUUCACGUGACAGUCUUGGAAAA